UGAUGGCGAAACUGCAAAAGCUUCAGGCUGCA
Molecule: non-coding RNA, 32 nt
Filed under: Homo sapiens (human)
Lineage: Eukaryota; Metazoa; Chordata; Mammalia; Primates; Hominidae
Source: RNAcentral